Molecule: ribosomal RNA, 253 nt
Filed under: uncultured bacterium
Lineage: Bacteria
Description: partial 16S ribosomal RNA
Rfam family: Bacterial small subunit ribosomal RNA
Source: RNAcentral
UUCGGGAGAGGCAAGCGUUGCUCGGAAUCAUUGGGCUUAAAGCGCGUGUAGGCGGCUCGCUAAGUGCCGUGUGAAAGCCCUCGGCUCAACCGAGGAAUUGCACGGUAUACUGGCGGACUUGAGGGAGGUAGGGGUGCCUGGAACUCUAGGUGGAGCGGUGAAAUGCGUUGAUAUCUAGAGGAACGCCCGUGGCGAAAGCGGGGCACUGGGCCUCUCCUGACGCUGAGACGCGAAAGCGUGGGUAGCAAACGGG